Molecule: small nuclear RNA, 143 nt
Filed under: Neogale vison (American mink)
Lineage: Eukaryota; Metazoa; Chordata; Mammalia; Carnivora; Mustelidae
Description: Neovison vison (American mink) U4 spliceosomal RNA (ENSNVIG00000005543.1)
Rfam family: U4 spliceosomal RNA
About the family: U4 small nuclear RNA (U4 snRNA) is a component of the major U2-dependent spliceosome. The structure of U4 snRNA from yeast and human has been reported.
Source: RNAcentral
AGCUUUGCGCAGUGGCAGUAUCGUAGCCAAUGAGGUUUAUCCGAGGCGCGAUUAUUGCUAAUUGAAAAGCCCACUUCAAUCACUCUCUAUUUGACAUCCUCCUGUUUUACCUCAUUUUUGUCACUUAUCAGUAUGUGGAAUAA